Long non-coding RNA from Eleginops maclovinus (Patagonian blennie), 902 nucleotides. RefSeq lists it as uncharacterized. The transcript is spliced from 3 exons. The record is from RefSeq and is a predicted model, not a curated record. Lineage: Eukaryota; Metazoa; Chordata; Actinopteri; Perciformes; Eleginopidae.
GAUUCCUGGAAGUUGAGUAAACUACAGACUGACUGCCUACUUUCUCACAAGGCGCUUACACGGACUCUUCAGCUCUGUUCGGCCGUGAGACUUCCUGCUCCAUCAGCGUCACGUUAACAGUGGGUCGGUCUAAUCCCAAACACAUGACGGCUGUGGAGAAGGGCUCGCUCCAUCUCACCUGAGAGAUUCCUAACAACAGAACUCAGGAUUCCUGAGACUUUCAAGAGACCAGCUGGACGUCUUACAUAGUGAUCAGAACAACAAUUGUCCCGUCGGUCACUUCCAAAUAAGUUGUGGCGCGACAGACCGGCACGCACUCUGAGAGAGGCCCGUGAAACGGAAAUGAAGUGGAUUAUCGAGUUCACCACCGACUACAUACAGUUUGUGUAGACUGCACUGUCCCUGCAUUGACAUUCAAAUAACAAACCAUGGGUGACCAAAGACAUCAAGGCCACCGUGAAUGCAAACAAGAGCGCUAUUAGAGAUGGUAAUAGGGAGGAGGUGAGAACAAAACAAGGCGACCUGAAGGUUAAUAUCAUGGAGGCUCGAUGCACCAAGCAACAUCAAAGAACUAGCAGCGAAGGACACCAAUGUUGCCUCAUGUUUCCUCAGUCUUGACCAAAAGUUUUGCAAAUUGAACACACCACAGAGUUUACAGCCAAUUACUAUGGUAUGCUAAGAAAUAGGCCUAUUGAUGCUUCUCUCUCUCUCUCUCUCUCUCUCUCUCUCUCUCUCUCUCUCUCUCUCUCUCUCUCUCUCUCUCUCUCUCUCUCUCUCUCUCUAAUAGAGAGUAAACUCAAAACUGGGAAAUGUUGGAAGGCUGGUAUGACAGAAUAAGAAAUGUGAAGGUCUUAUCUUUGGCUUUGGGAAAAUGUGGCUGACAAUUUCACAAUUUUCUCACA